CAGUCGCCGCGGGAAUACGUAGGGUGCGAGCGUUAAUCGGAAUUACUGGGCGUAAAGCGUGCGCAGGCGGUUCGUUAAGACAGAUGUGAAAUCCCCGGGCUUAACCUGAGAACUGCAUUUGUGACUGGCGAGCUAGAGUAUGGCAGAGGGGGGUAGAAUUCCACGUGUAGCAGUGAAAUGCGUAGAGAUGUGGAGGAAUACCGAUGGCGAAGGCAGCCCCCUGGGCCAAUACUGACGCUCAUGCACGAAAGCGUGGGGAGCAAACAGGAUUAGAUACCCCUGUAGUCCCUGUCUCUUAUAC
RNAcentral lists this ribosomal RNA (301 nucleotides) under uncultured bacterium. RNAcentral describes it as "partial 16S ribosomal RNA". It matches the Rfam family "Bacterial small subunit ribosomal RNA", at positions 509 to 807 of the family's 1533-position model. The record is from RNAcentral.